CCUACGGGGGGCAGCAGUGGGGGAUAUUGCACAAUGGGGGGAACCCUGAUGCAGCGACGCCGCGUGGGUGAAGGAGUGCUUCGGCAUGUAAAGCCCUAUCGGCAGGGAAGAAGCAAGACGGUACCUGACUAAGAAGCCCCGGCUAACUACGUGUCAGCAGCCGCGGUAAUACGUAGGGGGCGAGCGUUAUCCGGAUUCACUGGGUGUAAAGGGAGCGUAGACGGCCAUGCAAGCCAGGGGUGAAAGCCCGGGGCCCAACCCCGGGACUGCCCUUGGAACUGUGCGGCUAGAGUGCGGGAGGGGCAGGCGGAAUUCCUGGUGUAGCGGUGAAAUGCGUAGAUAUCAGGAGGAACACCGGCGGAGAAGGCGGCCUGCUGGACUGCGACUGACGUUGAGGCUCGAAAGCGUGGGGAGCGAACAGGAUUAGAUACCCGUGUAGUC
RNAcentral lists this ribosomal RNA (441 nucleotides) under uncultured bacterium. Its description in RNAcentral is "partial 16S ribosomal RNA". It matches the Rfam family "Bacterial small subunit ribosomal RNA", at positions 338 to 795 of the family's 1533-position model. The record is from RNAcentral.